GGCUUCGCGGCUCAGUUAGCUAGAGCGUUGCCUGUGCUAAGGCCUUCCGCUGCUGGCGUGGGUUCAAAUCCCGCCGAGGCUG
Molecule: transfer RNA, 82 nt
Filed under: Schistocephalus solidus
Lineage: Eukaryota; Metazoa; Platyhelminthes; Cestoda; Diphyllobothriidea; Diphyllobothriidae
Rfam family: tRNA
About the family: Transfer RNA (tRNA) molecules are approximately 80 nucleotides in length. Their secondary structure includes four short double-helical elements and three loops (D, anti-codon, and T loops). Further hydrogen bonds mediate the characteristic L-shaped molecular structure. tRNAs have two regions of fundamental functional importance: the anti-codon, which is responsible for specific mRNA codon recognition, and the 3' end, to which the tRNAs corresponding amino acid is attached (by aminoacyl-tRNA synthetases). tRNAs cope with the degeneracy of the genetic code in two manners: having more than one tRNA (with a specific anti-codon) for a particular amino acid; and 'wobble' base-pairing, i.e. permitting non-standard base-pairing at the 3rd anti-codon position.
Source: Rfam by way of RNAcentral